This 433-nucleotide ribosomal RNA is filed under the name uncultured Oscillospiraceae bacterium. RNAcentral describes it as "bacterial SSU rRNA". It matches the Rfam family "Bacterial small subunit ribosomal RNA", at positions 341 to 792 of the family's 1533-position model. The record is from RNAcentral. Lineage: Bacteria; Bacillati; Bacillota; Clostridia; Eubacteriales; Oscillospiraceae.
ACGGAAGGCAGCAGUGGGGAAUAUUGGGCAAUGGGCGCAAGCCUGACCCAGCAAUGCCGCGUGAAGGAAGAAGGCUUUCGGGUUGUAAACUUCUUUAAGAGGGACGAUAAUGACGGUACCUCUUGAAUAAGCUCCGGCUAACUACGUGCCAGCAGCCGCGGUAAUACGUAGGGAGCAAGCGUUAUCCGGAUUUACUGGGUGUAAAGGGCGUGUAGGCGGGACUGCAGGUCAGAUGUGAAAGCACAGGGCUCAACUCUGUGUCUGCAUUUGAAACUGUAGUUCUUGAGUGCUGGAGAGGCUAACGGAAUUCCUAGUGUAGCGGUGAAAUGCGUAGAUAUUAGGAGGAACACCAGUGGCGAAGGCGGUUAGCUGGACAGUAAUUGACGCUGAGGCGCGAAAGCGUGGGUAGCAAACAGGAGUAGAUACCCUGGUA